ACGCCCUCGUAGCUCAGCUGGAUAGAGCAGCGGUUUCCUAAACCGUUGGUCGCAAGUUCGAAUCUUGCCGGGCGUACCA
This 79-nucleotide transfer RNA is filed under the name Chlorobiota bacterium. RNAcentral describes it as "tRNA-Arg". It matches the Rfam family "tRNA". Rfam says of the family: Transfer RNA (tRNA) molecules are approximately 80 nucleotides in length. The record is from RNAcentral. Lineage: Bacteria; Pseudomonadati; Chlorobiota.